ACGUCGACGCUGGCUUCUACUCGUGAUGUCGAUCAUGGUCUGAAGGAAGUGGUUUCUACAUGAGAACACCACGAUAAUCCGGAAACGACGGAGUUUUCGAUCACGUUCUAGUCUAAUCGCCGAUUGAGAAGCCUUGAACAAGUCUCCAGUGAGAAGAACUGUAAGUUAGACAUAGAGAGAGUUUUGGAGGUCACGUGAUUUGAACACUACCAGAGAUGAUACGCUCACUUCCCCUCAAAGAAUUCACUAAGACUUUUAGUCAAACCAUAUAAUGCCUGGACUAUCAGGGUGCGGCACAGGUUUGUGAUUAGCAAACUCGAUUUUACGGUACACAAGCAAGUGGUAAAAGGUUUUCGAAUUAUAUUUUGAGAAACUCGGUGAAUCCUGAGCUCAAGUGUCGUGUUGUGUUGUUGGCAUCUCGCUAAACGAGGCAGAACGAGUGGCUGGAGCUUGUUGGGUUUUGGCUGCGGAAACAAGGUUGAUAAUGCUAUUAGAAGUAACGGUAACCGAAUAGUCAAUAACAUAAACAGCGAGUGAUUCGUCAAUGACAUAAACUCAUAAAGCGUCAUGUAACUUCAAGGUAACCGCCCAGCACUCUGCGUCAGACGGUCGAUCAGAGCGCAUCUGGUGUCCCUAUUUUUUACUACACCACAGAGCAUCUUGUCAAGCAUGGCGAGCGAUUGGUGCUGUAUUUUCUUGGUCGUCGCUGUUUUCCAACUAGCAGAUGCGUCGCAUUUUCGUGGCGCUACUAUCAAUUGGAGGUCUAUUGCUACUCCAGCAGAACCGGGAAAGGGUCUGUUAUACAUUUUUACACUAACUGACUUUGCAGCGCAGAAACACACAAUAUCUUGUGUACAAACUUUGAUGGUUGACUCGCUGUUCGCUGGAACGUUUCAAUAGAUCCGUCCGCACCGGAACUUGCUAGUUCCUAGAAGCCCUAGAGACCUUGAAGCUGUACCCACGCAAUUGUUGUCGCAUGUGUUACAUUUCGGGUGAAUAGACAGACAACGGGUCGUGUGACUCUCGCUAAGAUUUAGUUUAUGCUGGUGUCAUCGU
This is a long non-coding RNA of Corticium candelabrum, 1056 nucleotides long. RefSeq lists it as uncharacterized. The transcript is spliced from 6 exons. NCBI's taxonomy places the organism in Eukaryota, Metazoa, Porifera, Homoscleromorpha, Homosclerophorida, Plakinidae. The record is from RefSeq and is a predicted model, not a curated record.